UACAUCUCUUUGUUCCGCCUGUGGACUGAUUUGUAGAGCAGUUUGCCCUCCUUAACACGUGAGUCAAGAUUUUGUAGAAGAUUCUGCCAAAGAAUCAACAACAUAAAGAAAUAUAUCUCUCGGUUUGGGUAUCUCUCAACAAAACCUUCUACUGCUUCUCAGCCAGCCAUGCUGUCUGCUUCCUGCUCGGGACUUGUGAUCUUGUUGAUAAUCAGAAGGACCAAUGGAGACUCGGUGACCCAGACAGAAGGUCCAGUUACCCUCCCUGAGAGGGCAGCUCUGACAUUAAACUGCACUUAUCAGGCCAGCUAUUCAGCUUUUAUGUUCUGGUAUGUCCAAUAUCUAAACAAAGAGCCUGAGCUCCUCCUGAAAAGUUCAGAAAACCAGGAGACGGACAGCAGAGGUUUUCAGGCCAGUCAUGUCAAGAGUGACAGUUCCUUUCAUCUGGAGAAACCCUCGGUGCAGCUGUCAGACUCUGCGGUGUACUACUGCGUUCUGAGAGAUACAACUUCAACAAAUUUUACUUUGGAUCUGGGACCAAACUCAAUGUAAAACCAA
This is a non-coding RNA of Piliocolobus tephrosceles (Ugandan red Colobus), 558 nucleotides long. Lineage: Eukaryota; Metazoa; Chordata; Mammalia; Primates; Cercopithecidae. The record is from the annotation of a RefSeq genome assembly.